RNAcentral lists this transfer RNA (71 nucleotides) under Marmota marmota marmota (Alpine marmot). It matches the Rfam family "tRNA". Rfam says of the family: Transfer RNA (tRNA) molecules are approximately 80 nucleotides in length. Their secondary structure includes four short double-helical elements and three loops (D, anti-codon, and T loops). The record is from Rfam by way of RNAcentral. Lineage: Eukaryota; Metazoa; Chordata; Mammalia; Rodentia; Sciuridae. RNAcentral also lists the same sequence under 1 other name.
GGGGUUGUGGCUCAGAGGUAGAGCACUCACCUAGCAUGUGUGAGGCACUGGGUUCCAUCCUCAGCACCUCA